CAGUCGAUGCCAAGCCCAAAUGCCGGAAACUGAAAUGCCUGGCCUGCUCACCAUUAAAGCUGCUGGAAAAUGUGCCCCGGCCAGAAGAAAGAGUCCCAUGGGAGCCGCCAAAGAACCACCCGGAAAGAGGCAGAAGCAGAUCGGUGCCCCCAAGGCGAAGAGCCGAGCCUUUGCCGACAAUCGCCGAAAAACCCAAAUCAGCCCUAGUGAAACCACCCAACCCUGAGCACAGCAAAUGGUCAAAGCACCCCAAUCUGGUCUUAUCUAGGGGGGCUUUGCAGUUAUCUCUCCAUUUCCCCGCAGACACUCUGAUCCAAUUCGACCGCAGGCGGGCUCAGAACAAAGUCUGCAGAUGUUCAAGGCAGACCAAAUGACGCCUGGUGCAAAUAGUCUUGACCCGGGUUUCUCUUGGUAUAGACGGCAGAUUGCCAUGGAAACCCAGUGGUUUGUGUACAGUUGGGAUUGUUGGGACAAGUUUGCGGGCACCAGCGGUGUAGAAAAACAGGAAUUACUAAUCGGACUAAAUCGAGCAGUGAUUAGCCGCAAUGUCUGGCUAAAAUCCGAACAUUUGACUAAGAUUGCAAGCAUUUUUAUUAUGUUUUCGGUGAGCAGUUUUCAAAUAAACACUUUGCACUAUUUA
This is a long non-coding RNA of Dendroctonus ponderosae (mountain pine beetle), 640 nucleotides long. RefSeq lists it as uncharacterized. The transcript has 2 exons. Lineage: Eukaryota; Metazoa; Arthropoda; Insecta; Coleoptera; Curculionidae. The record is from RefSeq and is a predicted model, not a curated record.